RNAcentral lists this ribosomal RNA (240 nucleotides) under uncultured bacterium. RNAcentral's name for it is "partial 16S ribosomal RNA". It matches the Rfam family "Bacterial small subunit ribosomal RNA", at positions 1253 to 1500 of the family's 1533-position model. The record is from RNAcentral.
CCACGCGAGUGGAUGCCAAUCCCUAAAACCCCUCCUCAGUUCGGACUGGAGUCUGCAACCCGACUCCACGAAGCUGGAUUCGCUAGUAAUCGCGCAUCAGCCACGGCGCGGUGAAUACGUUCCCGGGCCUUGUACACACCGCCCGUCAAGCCAUGGGAGCCGGGGGUACCUGAAGUGCGUAACCGCGAGGAUCGCCCUAGGGUAAAACUGGUGACUGGGGCUAAGUCGUAACAAGGUAUC